AUCGAACGCUGGCGGCAGGGCUAACACAUGAAAGUCGAGCGAGCGGCGGACGGGUGAGUACUGUUUGGGAAACUGCCUGAUGGGGGGGGAUAACUACUGGAAACGGUAGCUAAUACCGCAUACCAUCAGAUGUGCCCAGAGGGGAAUAGCUAGUAGGUGGGGUAACGGCUCAACUAGGCGACGAUCCCUAGCUGGUCUGAGAGGAUGACCAGCCACACGGGAACUGAGACACGUUCCAGCCUCCUACGGGAGGCAGCAGUGGGGAGUAUUGCACAAUGGGCGCAAGCCUGAUGCAGCCAUGCCGCGUGUGUGAAGAAGGCCUUCGCGUUGUAAAGCACUUUCAGCGGGGAGGCGUUACCCGCAGAAGAAGCAACGGCUAACUCCGUGCCAGCAGCCGCGGUAAUUC
RNAcentral lists this ribosomal RNA (406 nucleotides) under uncultured bacterium. RNAcentral describes it as "partial 16S ribosomal RNA". It matches the Rfam family "Bacterial small subunit ribosomal RNA", at positions 29 to 526 of the family's 1533-position model. The record is from RNAcentral.